RNAcentral lists this long non-coding RNA (192 nucleotides) under Lynx pardinus (Iberian lynx). Lineage: Eukaryota; Metazoa; Chordata; Mammalia; Carnivora; Felidae. The record is from RNAcentral.
ACGGGUCUUUAUUUAUUGAGAAAGAAUUCACACAAGGUCACAUCAUACAGUCAAUCCAUUCCUGCGCUUCAUAAAAAUGAUUGUCACUCACUGUGCUUCACAAAAAUUUCUUUUAAUGAAUAAAUAAUUUGAUGAAAUCAAAAAUAUUUACAAUAUAAACAAAGGGAAAAGCUUUGGAUCCAUGAAUCUGAU